This 995-nucleotide ribosomal RNA is filed under the name Thermoanaerobacter sp. BSB-30. RNAcentral describes it as "partial 16S ribosomal RNA". The stretch from base 1 to 869 matches the Rfam family "Bacterial small subunit ribosomal RNA", at positions 68 to 873 of the family's 1533-position model. The record is from RNAcentral. Lineage: Bacteria; Bacillati; Bacillota; Clostridia; Thermoanaerobacterales; Thermoanaerobacteraceae.
GUCCGGAACNCCUUNNAAUUUGGUUAUUGGCCGAGAAGGAACCGUAAUUCCAUNGAAUUUUUANUAGGNGUGGUGCAAAACAAGGUAAGCACGGAUUUGAGUGCCGGAUAGCGGCGGACGGGUGAGUAACGCUGUGGGCAACCUACCCUUAAGAGGGGGAUAACACCUCGAAAGGGGUGCUAAUACUGGAUAAGCUCCUUGUAGGGCAUCCUAUGAGGAGGGAAGGUAGCGGAAGCUACCGCUUAAGGAUGGGCCCGCGUCCCAUCAGCUAGUUGGUAGGGUAACGGCCUACCAAGGCGACGACGGGUAGCCGGCCUGAGAGGGUGGUCGGCCACACUGGGACUGAGACACGGCCCAGACUCCUACGGGAGGCAGCAGUGGGGAAUCUUGCGCAAUGGGCGAAAGCCUGACGCAGCGACGCCGCGUGAGCGAAGAAGGCCUUCGGGUCGUAAAGCUCGAUAGUGUGGGAAGAAUAGAUGACGGUACCACACGAAAGCCCCGGCUAACUACUGUGCCAGCAGCCGCGGUAAGACGUANGGGGCGAGCGUUGUCCGGAAUUACUGGGCGUAAAGGGCGCGUANGCGGCCACUUAAGUCAGGUGUUAAAAACCCGGGCUCAACCCGGGGGAUGCACAUGAAACUGGGUGGCUUANAGGNCAGGAGAGGGGAGUGNNNUUCCCCGGUGUACCGGUUGAAAUGCGUUGAUUUCGGGAGGAAUACCAUUGGCCGANGGCGACUCUCUGNACUGACCCUNGACGCUNAAGCNCNAAANGUGNGGAGCAACAGNAUUANUUCCUGGUAUNCNGCCCGUAACAAUGGUUCCUAGUGNGGGAGCGNACCUUCCCUGCCGUAUUUACNCAUAGUNCCGCCUGGNGNUNCGCCNCAAGUUAAAUAAAGAUUGNGGGGCCCCCAAACGUGAAUUUGUUUUUNNACCCCGAAACCUCCNGGUUCUUNCANUNUACNNCCAAGNGCCCCCCCNNNNGGCCUAUAAANUNA